RNAcentral lists this long non-coding RNA (307 nucleotides) under Androctonus crassicauda. Lineage: Eukaryota; Metazoa; Arthropoda; Arachnida; Scorpiones; Buthidae. The record is from RNAcentral.
CCUUAGUGUUGGCAAGAGAACCAGAUCUGUGAUGUCUGCCCCCUUGUCUGAGGAAGUAAGGCCUGCUAAGAGGUCCCAGGGUCUUCAACCUGGACCAUAUUUGGAAGCUUUGGCUUCUUUUCAGCUGGCCAUCAUUAAAAAUGGUUAUCCUGACUCCAAGAUGAUGGCUGCUGAAGUUGACCUUAUUUUGGGGAAGAUCCUGAGCAGCAUGGUUGGGAUCUCAUUUGGGAAGACCCCUACUGCUGCUUAAGGGUUACAUUGUUGACAGUGGUGCACUCGUUUAUACUUAUAUGAAUGAGUUCACCUG